GGGAAUAUUUCACAAUGGGCGCAAGCCUGAUGCAGCCAUGCCGCGUGUAUGAAGAAGGCCUCCGGGUUGUAAAGUACUUUCAGCGGGGAGGAAGGGAGUAAAGUUAAUACCUUUGCUCAUUGACGUUACCCGCAGAAGAAGCACCGGCUAACUCCGUGCCAGCAGCCGCGGUAAUACGGAGGGUGCAAGCGUUAAUCGGAAUUACUGGGCGUAAAGCGCACGCAGGCGGUUUGUUAAGUCAGAUGUGAAAUCCCCGGGCUCAACCUGGGAACUGCAUCUGAUACUGGCAAGCUUGAGUCUCGUAGAGGGGGGUAGAAUUCCAGGUGUAGCGGUGAAAUGCGUAGAGAUCUGGAGGAAGACCGGUGGCGAAGGCGGCCUGCUGGACUGCGACUGACGUUGAGGCCCGAAAGCGUGGGGAGCAAACAGG
RNAcentral lists this ribosomal RNA (427 nucleotides) under uncultured bacterium. RNAcentral describes it as "bacterial SSU rRNA". It matches the Rfam family "Bacterial small subunit ribosomal RNA", at positions 357 to 776 of the family's 1533-position model. The record is from RNAcentral.